GACGAACGCUGGCGGCGUGCUUAACACAUGCAAGUCGAACGGGAGUAUUGAAGAAGCUUGCUUUAGAGAUACUUUAGUGGCGGACGGGUGAGUAACGCGUGAGGAGCUGUCCUAUGCAGGGGGGACAACAGCUGGAAACGGCUGCUAAUACCCCAUAAGCCGAGAGGUAAAAGGAUCAAUCCGGCAGAGGAGGUACUCGCGUCCUAUCAGCUAGUAGGUGAGGUAACGGCUCACCUAGGCGAAGACGGGUAGCCGGCCUGAGAGGGCGACCGGCCACACUGGGACUGAGACACGGCCCAGACUCCUACGGGAGGCAGCAGUGGGGAAUAUUGCACAAUGGGGGAAACCCUGAUGCAGCAACGCCGCGUGGAGGAAGAGGUUUUCGGAUUGUAAACUCCUGUCUUUUGGGACGAUAAUGACGGUACCAAAAGAGGAAGCCAACGGCUAACUACGUGCCAGCAGCCGACGGUAAUCAUACUCGUA
This 483-nucleotide ribosomal RNA is filed under the name uncultured bacterium. Its description in RNAcentral is "bacterial SSU rRNA". It matches the Rfam family "Bacterial small subunit ribosomal RNA", at positions 28 to 529 of the family's 1533-position model. The record is from RNAcentral.